This is a long non-coding RNA of Micropterus salmoides (largemouth bass), 564 nucleotides long. RefSeq lists it as uncharacterized. The transcript is spliced from 2 exons. NCBI's taxonomy places the organism in Eukaryota, Metazoa, Chordata, Actinopteri, Centrarchiformes, Centrarchidae. The record is from RefSeq and is a predicted model, not a curated record.
UCUUGUGUUUUCCCCUCCCUGCUGUCUUGGUCUUCUUUUUUUGUCUGUCAGUCUUGUGGGCGUGUCAUCCUGGCUCCCUCUCUCCAGCUCGCCGCCUGCAGCUCCACUCACCUGAGGCUCAUCAGCAAUCAACCCACUCUGUUAAAACCCUGCUCUACAGUCACUCCCUGCUGUGAGAGACCUCAGCCAAGUUUGGAGACACUGCCUGCCAGCCUGGAGAGAGCCCUGUCUUCACGGCACAAUCCCAAAUAAACCAGAGACUCUUGCUCACCCCCAAAUAUUGUACUUUGUACUGGUUGUGUAAAAGUAAGACAUAAGAAUAAAUAUUUCUUUGCUUUUGUUACUUGGUUUUGGCACAGUUGAUGAUAUCCUCAUGUACAAACUGAAGGGUUGGCACAGCCGUUAUCUAGUUCAAGAUUUAUCUAAUGGUCAGAUCAUCCUCAGUUACCCUGCAUGACUCAUCAUUGGGAAGUGUCUGUAGCACAACGGAAAUCAUUACAUAUGCCUACUAGGUGAUGUCACCAGGAAAUCCUUAAUUAGCUAUGCAUAUGAUAUAAACUUUGU